This 253-nucleotide ribosomal RNA is filed under the name uncultured bacterium. RNAcentral's name for it is "partial 16S ribosomal RNA". It matches the Rfam family "Bacterial small subunit ribosomal RNA", at positions 524 to 776 of the family's 1533-position model. The record is from RNAcentral.
UACGUAGGGUGCAAGCGUUGUCCGGAAUUAUUGGGCGUAAAGGGCUCGUAGGCGGUCCAUCACGUCGGGAGUGAAAAGCUGGGGCUUAACCCCAGUCCUGCUUCCGAUACGGGUGGACUAGAGGUAGGCAGGGGAGAACGGAAUUCCUGGUGUAGCGGUGAAAUGCGCAGAUAUCCGGAAGAACACCGGUGGCGAAGGCGGCCUGCUGGGGUGGAGCUGACGCUGAGGCGCGACAGCGUGGGGAGCAAACAGG